AUGCAUGUUUAUUGUAUAUAGUUAGCCCCUAUGAUUAUAUGAUAGUCUAUGACGCUAAACUUCGAUAUUAUUACAUCAUCAUCGAUCAGACUCCUUUCCCUAAACACUCAAAAUUGAAAAAACGACCCAUUAACCAGAAGAACUUAACAGGCUAAAAGCUUUUCAUCUUACAACGGUACAGACGGUGUAACCGCACGCACAUAAAUAUGUAACAUUACAUACCUAAAUAAUUGCGUAAAUAAUCCAGAUAGGCCAGACACCUGAAUCCCGCGAUUUUGCCUGAUUAUAGGCGAAGUACAGAAUGAAAUUAAUAUCAACUUUGAACAAAUCUGGGCACACUGCACGCGCUCAGAUGUUACGACACGGAUAAAAUAGAUGCUGUCGUUGGUGGUAGUUUUUUGUCGUUUUUCAUUACCUCUUCGGAUGUGUUAGGUCAGCCAUCCACUCCACUUAUCACAUCGCGUCGUUGCUGCUUAGCUGAUGGCUUGCUUUGUUCGCCGAUUAGCGGGAAGUUCAUAGCCUGACGCUAAGUAGGACCGUACAUUAGCUCGUCGGUAUUGCGGUACUAUUGCGAUCGGCGUGUUCACGGGCACGGCUUGCGAUGCAGUCUCACUCACCAUCAAGGUAGUCCGACUCUCGCACCUGCGCUACACAGUGGACUUUUCCUGUUAGAUUGCGUGGAGCACGCACGACCGCUUCCAAAUGGAGUACAUUAACGUUAAACUAGUCGAGCCCAUUAGGCUGAUUUAUCCGUUGAGGUCCUAUUACGACCAGUUAGCUGGCAGGCGGGCGGGCGAACUGGCUGGAUGGUCGGUGGUCUGCGUUGAUGUUGAUUUUGUAGCAGUAACAGAAGCAGGCAGCACGCCACUGCGGCGACUAGUGCGAAGUCGCUGCUGGAGUUGUUGACUGUUCAGAGACCACACGUAAUUUCUCUACCGAGUUCCUGCGUUUUUGGAUCAAUUACAGCAUUGAGGCGCGCUUUCACACAUGAAGGUGCAUGUAGACAGUGGUAAUGCGGGAUGCAUGGCUGCAGAUCAGCCCGACUUAUACAGAUACCGUGCAUUUUGCUUUGAAGUCUCUUUACACAAAGCUCUUGUCCUGAUACUAAUAAUAACAGGACGACAACGAUCCCAAAUCGUUGUUACAGGUCCCAGUAGUUGCGGGACCACAAAGGUGCCAAUAAUCGGCGGCUGUUAUUCGUCAGAAUUUGGAAGGAACACUCUCAGGUUGGAAUCGAGCCCGAGACUUCACAAUGGUAAAAUCCGACGUCCUGUCCGCACCAACCACCGCGGUAGCCAAUUAAUUGACGACUUUAUAGAGCCACAUAUUUGUCGGAAUAUAUUCCGGGUUUAAAAAAUAGGAAGCGAGUUCUUCUGACCAGUAAAAAUAUCUUUGAACACGCCUUUACAUCUAGCAAACUCGGGAUGGGUCUCCGGCGGCUACAGGCAAGGUGCCUAUAGAGCCUUAGCAAGACUAAGAGAUGGCAAAGGG
Varroa destructor (honeybee mite) is the source of this 1491-nucleotide long non-coding RNA. The record is from RefSeq and is a predicted model, not a curated record. NCBI's taxonomy places the organism in Eukaryota, Metazoa, Arthropoda, Arachnida, Mesostigmata, Varroidae.